Molecule: ribosomal RNA, 390 nt
Filed under: uncultured bacterium
Lineage: Bacteria
Description: bacterial SSU rRNA
Rfam family: Bacterial small subunit ribosomal RNA
Source: RNAcentral
AUUGAACGCUGGCGGCAUGCCUUACACAUGCAAGUCGAACGGCAGCACGGGAGCUUGCUCCUGGUGGCGAGUGGCGAACGGGUGAGUAAUACAUCGGAACGUACCCUGAAGUGGGGGAUAACGUAGCGAAAGUUACGCUAAUACCGCAUAUUCUGUGAGCAGGAAAGAGGGGGAUCGCAAGACCUCUUGCUUUAGGAGCGGCCGAUGUCGGAUUAGCUAGUUGGUGAGGUAAAGGCUCACCAAGGCGACGAUCCGUAGCGGGUCUGAGAGGAUGAUCCGCCACACUGGGACUGAGACACGGCCCAGACUCCUACGGGAGGCAGCAGUGGGGGAAUUUUGGACAAUGGGCGCAAGCCUGAUCCAGCCAUGCCGCGUGAGUGAAGAGGCCUU